UCACCCAUUUUUCUCUCACCUCUCGAGAGUUUCUCUCUCCUCUCGCGAAAACCCUCUGCUGGGGUUUCGCCCGCCGUGCCUUCGCCGCUGCCUCAGUUCGUUCUUUCUCCACCGCCACCAAGAGGACGAAGUCAUCUGCCACUUCGACCGCAUAGAAGUCGACUGGAACAAUGUCUAACGAUCACAUACUCAGUCUUUAGCCCUUUUCCCACCAGAUUUGGGCUUUGGGUUGUUGCAGGGAAGACGACAGAGGGCUCAACAUGCGAGUACCAAUGCCUGCGAACAGGUCCCUGCUAGACACGUCAAGAAAAAUCGGCCGGCAGAGCACCCAACCGAGUCAGACCCUCUGUUCUGGCUCUCGGGUCUUUGCCGGAAAAGGAGCAGGAGCAGGAGCAGCAGUGGUUUCUCGGUUGCGAUGGACAGAAAAAAAACGGCGACUGCUAGAGUUUGAGUCUCAGCAUGAAGGGAUGCCAGAGCAGAGAGUUUCAGACAUGGUGUUCUGGGUAGUCCGCGCUCUCGCGCGUCUGCUGUAAUUAAGGCAGCAGUGGUUCUCUUGUUGUUUCAGAGUUCGGUUUAAAAAAAAAAAAAAAUCCAGAGGCUCAACCGCAGGUUACAACUCGGAGCGGAAUGACACCAUGGAUCAGCUCUUCGUCUGCGCAACACGUUCACCAGUGGCGUCUCCAGCCGAGCGUCAAUGCAGCUGCAACACCGUUUGAAAAGGGGCGAAAGAAAGAAGAAGAAGAAGAAGAAAAGCAGUAGCUGAGAAUCAGAUAAUUCUGGGUUUCCUUUUAUGAGCACCGACUAGGGAGAUCAAUCGAUUAAACCCUAGGGUUUGCUUUUACGAGGCAUGGACGAGAGAGAUCAAUCGAUUAAACCCUAAGUCAGAGAAUCAAGCUCGCAAGAAAUAGGUUUUCCAAUAGUCCAGCGAGCGGGCGGUUACGGUAAGGAGAGAUUGGAUUGGUAGAGAGAAUCAAGCUAGUAACUGCAAAUAUGCAAAUGGCUCCUCCCUUGCAUGUACGAAAUAAAUGGGUAGGGCUCUUAGCCACUAUCCAUGCUUACAAGCAAGCAACAGUUAAAUCUGAAUUCUAGCUGUCGUUACUGUUACCUUUUGGAAUCUAUAUGGUACGUUACAGGUUUCCUUGCCCCUGUAGAGCAGGGGUGACA
This is a long non-coding RNA of Nymphaea colorata (pocket water lily), 1164 nucleotides long. RefSeq lists it as uncharacterized. NCBI's taxonomy places the organism in Eukaryota, Viridiplantae, Streptophyta, Magnoliopsida, Nymphaeales, Nymphaeaceae. The record is from RefSeq and is a predicted model, not a curated record. The transcript has 2 exons.